CCGCUCUUAGCUCAGUGGUAGAGCAUGUGACUGUAGAAUUACGGUUGUUAUCACAGGGUCGCCGGUUCGAUUCCAGCAGCGCGGA
Molecule: transfer RNA, 85 nt
Filed under: Tritrichomonas foetus
Lineage: Eukaryota; Parabasalia; Tritrichomonadida; Tritrichomonadidae
Rfam family: tRNA
About the family: Transfer RNA (tRNA) molecules are approximately 80 nucleotides in length.
Source: Rfam by way of RNAcentral